Molecule: non-coding RNA, 122 nt
Filed under: Streptoalloteichus hindustanus
Lineage: Bacteria; Bacillati; Actinomycetota; Actinomycetes; Pseudonocardiales; Pseudonocardiaceae
Source: RNAcentral
ACAACAGAAUCCGUGUCCCGUGGGGGAAGUCCGGUCCGAAUCCGGCGCUGACCCGCAACGGUGGGUCGCACGAGCGAAGGCGUGCGACGAGCCCGAGUACCCGCGGGACACGUGUCGCUCCA